This 837-nucleotide long non-coding RNA is filed under the name Manacus vitellinus (golden-collared manakin). Its description in RNAcentral is "lncRNA (ENSMVIG00005019431.1)". Lineage: Eukaryota; Metazoa; Chordata; Aves; Passeriformes; Pipridae. The record is from RNAcentral.
GCUCUGGCCAUGUCCAUUGACAUCUGGCCCCCACGGGGCUCCCCGAGCCCCUGCAGUGCCACAGUUCUCUGAGGCAGGAGGGGAUCCCAGCAUGCCAUGGAAACAGUUCCCAUCUCUGUUUGCUUCUAGAUGAGGACACUGGGAAUGCUUCUCCAUUGGAUUGGCUGCAUGAAGUUUUGGGGCCCUUGAUGUCCCCUGCAGGUAAAGUGUCAUUUUCCCUCAAAGAUCAAUUACUCGAAAUUCUAAACCCAAUAAAUGUCACAAGAGCCAGAUGACAGAAGUUUCUCUGGUUAUUGAAUUACAGGCGUAUCUGCAUGGAGGACUUUUCCAGCUCCUCUGCUGGUUGUUCCACACAAGCCCAGCUCACAUGGUCCUCCAAGAGGCAAGAACCCACCUCCAGGUGAAAAGAAAUCCCAGGAGCCAUCUGAAGAUGCAGCCGGUGCCACAACACGUGCUCCCAAGAUCCAGGAGAGCACUGGGAGAGAUUUCUGUCAGGGAACACACUGUUUGAUUGUGAUAAUGGCAAGCAUGUUGGGUGGGCUGCUUGCCAUCAUGUCAUGCUGUGCUGGAAUCUGGUACUGGAGGGUGAGAAAACGGCAAGAGAGCAGCCUUGCUCCUGCUCCAGAGCAGCCAAACACCUCGGGCAGGAAGAGCAGGACCUCUCACCUUCACUCUUUGUACCCUUGCUCAGCUGCGUUGCCGCGGCUGCAGCACCUGCUUUUUGAUGUCAAGGUCCAGCUGCCACCAAAACGUUCCUCUCUGCCUCUAAACCCACUGAUCGCACCCUAUGAUGAGGACUGAAGUUGGUCCUUUCCUGCCCACCCCUUUUAUUCAAAU